AGAUGAAACCAAAUUUUAGAAAAGAAACUGAUCAAAUUUUAUCUCUGUAAGAAAAAGAAAAACAAACCUUAAGAUUGCCAUAGCUUUCCCAAGGCCAGACUGAUAAAGUAACCAUUCUUGGGCUUCUUGUACUCUAAGAUCUCUCUCUCUCUCUUAUUGGUCUAUAACCUUAAAGAUUUCUCCAGGUUUCAAGCAAUCCUGAGAAAAAGAUGUUGCUCUGUUUGUGGAAGUGAGAGAAAGAGAGAGAAACUGAUGGGGUUUUUAAGUUCGUUGAAAGAUUUAACCAAAGCCUAGUUGUGUGACAUUAGUGAGAGCCUCGAGCUUUGUUUACUUAUAUAAGCAUUGAAACUAGGAGGGCCAACUAGACCCCAACAUUUGUUCUUUUUAUCCCUCUCUCUAAUGAAUUUUAAAUACAGUAGUAAUUUUUAAAUCAAUAUUGUGAAGAAAAUAGUUUUCACCUGAAAAUAAAACUCUUACAGCAAUCAGUAUUCAGUGAUAAUUACUUUUAACUCUGCUCAAUCGUACAACAUUCACAUGCUAGUGCAGUUUUGGUAUCAACAUUUUUACUUUGAUGAACAGUUGAUGUUUUUAUUUCGAGUAUAAUUUGGAGUUUAGGAGUUAUUUAGUUUUGCUCCAACCAAAAGAACCGGAGAAAUAAUUCAAUCUUUUCAUUUUAUUAAAACUUACAAAAUCUUAAAAAUAUAUAUAACAACCCGUAAAAUGUCACAAAGGAAUUUUGAGGCCAAUAAACAACAAUAUCAAUACAAUGGAGAAACGAAAAUUCCACAUCCAUUGAAACAAAAAGCCAAAAUUUAAAAUAUCUUUUUGAUAAUGACUACUUACAAUUUAUAAUAGUCAUUAUUAGCGUGAAAAGGAAUGUUAACAGUUUUUUAAAUAAUUUAUAAAAGUAAAUUUACAAUUUAAUAAACUUUAAUUCAACAAAUUAAUAGAGAAAAUGAGAAAUAACUAUGUUGUAAUAUAAAAUAAAUGUAACUAUUUUAACUGAAAUUAUAUAAAUACCUAAUAAAUUUUGUAUAGUAUAUAUAAAACUAAUAUAUUUUACCAAAAUUUAUGUACAAAUAUCUAAUUUUAUAUCGGAACCAAUGUAAAUCAGAAAUGUUUGCAUUGUUUUCCUAAUGUAAAUGGCCGCAAAAACAAUCAUACAUGCAAACCAAACAGAUAACUAUAGCCUAUAGGUUUGUGUAUAUCAUUAUGGACAUAAUCUUUUUUUUUCGACGAAUUUAAAUUUUAUUAAUAUGAAAGUAUAAUAUCUGAAUACAAAGUUGGAGUUAACUAUUUAGGUGGAUAAACUUUACAAUUUUCAAAAAUAGAAUUUGCUGGACCAUGGCGAACAAUUUCAUGGGCGGCUUGAUUUCCAUUACGUUUGAUAAAAGUAAAUGUUGUUGUAGAAAGCUUAUUCUUCGAGCUAGUAUAUCAUUAUGGACAUAAUCAUAAUAAAUAUUAGUAUAAUAUAGAUUUUUUGUAAUUAAAAAUGUUGAACAGUCUUGUAACUAUUUUAGUGAUUUGUUUGAAUAUCUUUUUUUAAUACUUAACGACAUAGAAGUAUAACCAAUUGAUACAAUGGCAUAGCUUCACAGCUGGAUUAUAACUAUCUCACACGCAUUUAAUUUUCGGUUUACGGUUGAAGCGGCGAUGGUUACAGAUCUUGCCCUCGGUGGCUUCUUCGUAUACUCAAAUUUGUAUUCAACUUGUCCUCUUCUUCUACUUUUCUAACAUUUACUUAAACUUUUUAUGGUUUUUCAAACCACAAAUUAAUCCGCGUUUAUGUCACGUACACUAAAGCUUAGCAACAAAAGUUUUAAGCGCCUAAAAUAUAUCACGUGUAUAAAAGCAUUACUUAAUUAUCAUUUUAGAUUUGAACAUACAAAUUAUAAAAAUUUCUAAUUUUGUAUAUUUAUUAAAUAAAAACAUCAUUAAUAAAAAGAUAAAUUGGAAUAAAAAAUUAAUAAAUGAUACUUAUUUUGAAACAUCAAUUUUAUCUACAACGAAAACUAAACCGAAAAAAAAAGAAAGAACCAAUUUUGCUUUGGACAACAUUUACUAUAGGGUGCGUACAAUAGUGGUACUAUAAAAAUGUUAAUAGGGGUCAGGAUUUAAGAUUCAUAUAAAUGCCAUGAGUAAAAGAAUCAAAUGAUUCAAAUCGAAAGACUAGUAAAAAAAUAAAUCAUAAGCUAUAUAAUGUCAGCCAUUUAAUGCCUUGGCAAGAAAAAUCAUGUUUGUAUGCAGUUGCUAAUUUCCAUGUUUUGAUGUUCUCAUAUCUAGUUGGAAGUUAAUUUUAACAACUAAUUAAUGCGUAUAACACAUUAAACACCCUAAAAGCAUGUUCAGACUUGAAAACUAUACUACAAAAAGAAUAGUCUAAAACACACCGACUCGAUUGUGGUUACCAUGAUAAUAGGAACAUUACUGCCAAUUCAUUUGCAGUAUCUUCGAAAUGGAGUCACAUAUUGGACUGGCCAAGCUUAUGCAUGAUUGUAUGGAUCAAUACGGUCCAAGCAAUCGAACUGGAUAUAGUGAUCCUAAAUUAUACAAUUAAUAUUAAUAAUUUUUAAUUAUACAAUUAUUUCCGUUUAAAAUUUGUAAAAUCAUGAAUUAGAGAAUUAAUUAUGUCGGUGUUAGAAAUAAUGGUAGUUAGCGAAACUGAGUAUCAAUAAGGUAAAAACAUAAGCUAUUACUAUUAGCUCACUCCAUGCAAAACAUCAUAUAUUUUGCAGUAAACAAUUGAAUAAAAAUCAUUGCUAUGUGUGAUUAGUUUUAAAUUAAAAAUUCAUAAAAAAAUAUAAGUAAUCAUUUUGUACGUAGUGGUCAUUGGUUUAUUUAUGAUACAUAAUUAGGCCUAUACAUAAUAUAUUAACAAAUUAUAUGAAUGUGUUGAAAUAAGUCCCUUAAACACUGAUAUACACACAGAUGUGUGUCCUUCUUCUUAUAGGAUAGACAGGAAGGUGGAAUAUCGAAAGAAGGGGUUUAGAUUUAUCGUUUUGUAAGUUUAGGUUACUAUUUAAACCAUCCAAAAAGUGUAGAACCCCCAUAAUAGGAAACUGCAUUUGUUCAAACUGAAAAUAUAGAUGAAAGUAACAAAAGAUACGGAGCAUAUUGUUGAUCUUCAUUUUGUGGUCGUCAAAAAUAUUUUGGAUGUCUCUUUAUUGAUCUUGUAUCACAAGAUUCACAACGAAACUCCAACUGACUCUGAAAAGGAAACCACUUGAUAAAAUGAAUGUUUAUAAGAAAAAUGGAAAAACAUUUUACAAAAUUGUUAUCACACAUAAAUAUAAAUUUAUGUUCUUAAAAACCUAUAAAUGAUUA
Molecule: long non-coding RNA, 3324 nt
Organism: Brassica rapa (field mustard)
Lineage: Eukaryota; Viridiplantae; Streptophyta; Magnoliopsida; Brassicales; Brassicaceae
Source: RefSeq, a predicted model, not a curated record